This 492-nucleotide ribosomal RNA is filed under the name uncultured bacterium. Its description in RNAcentral is "partial 16S ribosomal RNA". It matches the Rfam family "Bacterial small subunit ribosomal RNA", at positions 29 to 507 of the family's 1533-position model. The record is from RNAcentral.
AGUGAACGCUGGCGGUAGGCCUAACACAUGCAAGUCGAACGGCAGCACCGUAAGAGCUUGCUCUUCCGGGUGGCGAGUGGCGGACGGGUGAGUAAUACAUCGGAAUCUACUUUUUCGCUGGGGAUUACGUCGGGAAAAUUACGCCUAUACCCCAUACGCCCCAUCGGUGAAAGCAGGGGAACUUCUGACCUUUCGCGCUUUAAUGAGCCGAUGUCGGAUUAGUUAGUUUGCGGGGGAAAGGCCCACCCAGGCGACGAAACGUAGAUGGUCUGUGAGGAUGGUCAGCUCCACCGGAACUGAGCCACGGUCCAGACUACUACGGGAGGCAGCAGAGGGGAAUAUAGGACUAUGGGCGGAGGCCUGGUCCAACCAUACCGCGUAGGUGGAGGAAGCCUUCGGGUUGUAAAGCCCUUUUGUUGGGAAAGAAAAGCAGCAGGUUAAUACCCCGCUGUUCUGACGGUACCCAAAGAAUAAGCACCGGCUAACUUCGUG